This 141-nucleotide ribosomal RNA is filed under the name uncultured bacterium. RNAcentral describes it as "partial 16S ribosomal RNA". It matches the Rfam family "Bacterial small subunit ribosomal RNA", at positions 355 to 509 of the family's 1533-position model. The record is from RNAcentral.
UGGGGGAUAUUGGACAAUGGGGGGAACCCGUCGAUCCAGCGACGCCGCGUGAGUGAAGAAGUAUUUCGGUAUGUAAAGCUCUAUCAGCAGGGAAGAAAGAAAUGACGGUACCUGAGUAAGAAGCCCGGCUAACUACGUGCC